Molecule: long non-coding RNA, 688 nt
Organism: Papaver somniferum (opium poppy)
Lineage: Eukaryota; Viridiplantae; Streptophyta; Magnoliopsida; Ranunculales; Papaveraceae
Exons: 2
Source: RefSeq, a predicted model, not a curated record
GGUUCUCUGACAGUCGGACUCGCUUAAAACCUAUCAACAAUGUGCGCGUCUAACUCACUCCAACUAACCCACUGAUCCGUUCCAGUUCCUACCUAAUAUACCCUUCCCUAGUCAGUUAGUUACAGUGGUUGGGUUAGGUUAGUUUAAAUGGGUUGAGUUCCAGUUCCUAUCCCGUAGCUUCCCUAUAAUCCCAAUCUCAGUUUCAGUUUCUCCUCUUUUCCCUCUUAUGUAACUUUGCAUAGAAUCAGAGACGGGUGGAUAUGAAUUCAUCAAAUCUAGACGUAUAGAUUCGAAAAGAGCUAGAAGGUUCUGAUUUUGCUUAGGAAAUCAAAAAUCACAGAUGGGGGGUCAUACCAAGAUUCUGUAGACUGUAGAUGCCAAUGCCUUUAGGGUUUUGGAUAUCAGCUAAAAGUACUCAAGAUUGUAGGAAGUUGAACCCUAAUGGUAUCGUUGUUCUUCAUCAGAGUGAUAUUGGUGAGUAUUUGAGAAUGAACGAUGAUCUUUAAAUUAAUUUUAGCAUGAAUUGUGUGUAUUUCUUGUUUUGGGUUUUGGGGGUUUUGAGAACUGUAAUCUGGGUUAUUAAUGGAUUAUCCUAUGUUUUUAUGUUUGAAUUGUAUUGCCAGUUUCAUGUUAACAAUGAAGUAAAUUUUGAAUUUGUGUUUAAAUUUGAUGGUAUUUGAAUUCUGUA